UACGUAGGAUGCGAGCGUUGUCCGGAAUUAUUGGGCGUAAAGAGCUCGUAGGCGGCUUGUCACGUCGGGUGUGAAAGCCCGGGGCUUAACCCCGGGUCUGCAUUCGAUACGGGCUGGCUAGAGUGUGGUAGGGGAGAUCGGAAUUCCUGGUGUAGCGGUGAAAUGCGCAGAUAUCAGGAGGAACACCGGUGGCGAAGGCGGAUCUCUGGGCCAUUACUGACGCUGAGGAGCGAAAGCGUGGGGAGCGAACAGG
RNAcentral lists this ribosomal RNA (253 nucleotides) under uncultured bacterium. Its description in RNAcentral is "partial 16S ribosomal RNA". It matches the Rfam family "Bacterial small subunit ribosomal RNA", at positions 524 to 776 of the family's 1533-position model. The record is from RNAcentral.